This is a long non-coding RNA of Orbicella faveolata, 2202 nucleotides long. Lineage: Eukaryota; Metazoa; Cnidaria; Anthozoa; Scleractinia; Merulinidae. The record is from RefSeq and is a predicted model, not a curated record.
AUCAGCCGAAGCCGAAGGUUUGUAUGAUUUUAUUUUUUAUGAGUUAUAUAUGACCUCUGUGUGAGUCAUGACUGACACAAAAUCAGUUUUUUAAGUGUUGAAAAUGAUGUAAUUUUGUUCUCUGUAUUGCACAAUUAGUGAGGACUCCAAAUAUACAUGUUUUUUCAGGGCCAAUCAAGCAAACUGAACAAUCAAAAUAAUUUUUGUAAUAAUCUGCUCUUGCAGUCCACCUCACCAGGCAAAAUAAUUUUGGCUCAAAGGAUUUACUUCAAGUUCUUCAAGCUCCCUAGUUUUCUCUUUCACACUCUUUAGGUGGUGUUUGAAAUGAUUUAAGCUGCUUAAGUCUUGAAUGAAAUCAUUUGAGAACUUUGUGAAACUUCGGUAAAAAGGAAUUACCACACUAGUGUCUGCCAGGUUUGCAAAAAAGUGGAGAGAAGCCCUGGAGCUGGUAACUAAAAUUGCAGGCAGACCACGAGCUAAGAGCAUGUUCCAAAAUAAGUGUGACACAGGGUCAAACUCCAACUGGACUCACAACAGACAAAAUAACAUGGUAGAAAGGGUUGCCAGAAGUGUCAGAUGAGGUCAAAGUAAACUGAAAUUUACACUUGUUUUCUCAAAAUGUUGCUAUUUUUUUCCUAACAUUUUAUUAUUAUCACAACAUCACUUACAUCACUUUCACUACAAAACGUAAGGUUAAAAAAAUUCUAUUACAAGAACUAAGAUUACUAGUUGUAAUCUUCCCAAAAUGUUGUUAUUUGUUGUGGAGAGUCUCCCCUCUUUGCCCGUGUAAGUACACAGUCGAUCAUCUUUAAUGCAAUAAUCAUUAUUAUGAUUAUUAUUAUAAUCAGUUUAUAUCUUGUUGUUUACAAUACUGACCAAAAGAAAGUUACCACCAUCUCCCAGAAUGCAUCUUGAUUCUCUUGAGAUGCAUCUCGUUUCAUUCGAAUCCUUUCUUGUUUACAGUUACAAUGGCUAAAAAAAACCGUCAUUAUGCGCUAAACAGUUAAUCCCCAUUGCCACCCUCUUACAAGAAAAACUUUCCUCUACAAUAAUUUGUAGAUGGUUAAACCAGGCAAGCAAAAUCAUCCUCACAGCCGGUCAAUUUGCCCAGUACCUGGCCCCUCAUGAAACCUCCUGUAAAUUGUUAAUGUUAUCCUUCGAAUCAAAUUAUUACAAAUCCCUGAAUGCAAGUCUGGUUUUAGCCGCUCAUUAUGUUAAUAUUGUUAUUACAGUAUAUGGUUACAUGUGGCUCCCUGAGCAGGCAAGGUUUACCAAAUCCUACCCUGUGAUUGGCUACCCCAGCAGCAUGAUACACAUCAAGAAGAAAGGAGCCUAGAGUUUCAAGACAGGACAAUAUGAUAUCAACAUGGAAACUGAUUGUUGGGUUUAGUAUACAAAAUAGGGAAGCAACAAUGAAAGUACAGUAUGUGCUGAGACUCAAGAGGACAAAGAAUCAAUUGGGACAUUGGAUCCCUUGAAAAGCUGCAUCUCAAGUGUACACGCAGUGACAUUAAUAUGGAGAAAGAAGCAAAGGAAAGCAACGAACUUCUUUUAGAUUUUACAAGACAAAGUUGAUCUCGAUUGAGUUUCUUGCGAAAGAUUGUUAGGACGGAGCUCGUAUUAGUGAUUUCACAACACAAAAUUUUCAAAUUGUCUAUUAUCUGCCAAAUUGCCUCGUACGUUGUUAGUUUUCGAGUAAGUUGUAAACUAUAUUUCAAGUUUGUGGCUUGAAAUUAGGGUAGAAUGUUAGUAUUACCUGGGCUUGUUUUUGCAACCCGAUUUUCAGUCUGGAAGUCCUUGUAUUAAACUCGUUGAAAUAGCUAAGAGUCUAGUAGUCUAGUUCACAAAUUUAGCGACAUCUUUCCAGUUUUCGAGAACGCAUUAAAGUGAUAAAAAGGUUUCGCUUUUAAGAGGGCCAAGAAAAAAAUCGAAAAGUGGAAAAAUUGUACUUAGAAAAAAAAGUCUGCAAUUUUAAAUGGUGUCUGGUUUUGAGUCGAACAUAUACAGAGUCUUGGUGGAGAAAAUCUAGCGCUGCGUAGGAUUUUUCCCAUCAAACGUCACAGUAUAUGCUUGAUUUCUGGCUAGACUCUGUUUAAAGGCGCAGAAUUUUUUUCUUUUUGGCAACCCUACAUAGUCAAAAACUAGUAAAAGAGAGCCUACAUUUUGACUAGUUUCCAGGCCCUUUUAAAACCGCAUUUUUUU